UGAAGAGGGAAGAGCCCAAGAUUGAAAGCUGGCGCCGCAUGCCGGCGUUCCGCAUUGUAAUCUCAAGAAACGUGUGUCCGCUUCGGACCAGGCCAAAGUCCCUUGGAAAAGGGCAUCAUGGAGGGUGAAAAUCCCGUGUGUGACCUGGAGCCGCCGAAGUACUGCGACGCGUAUCUUCUCCGAGUCGAGUUGUUUGGGAAUGCAGCUCAAAACGGGUGGUAAAUGCCAUCUAAGGCUAAAUACAGGGGAGAGACCGAUAGCGAACAAGUACCGUGAGGGAAAGAUGCAAAGAACUUUGGAAAGAGAGUUAAACAGUACGUGAAAUUGCCAGAAGGGAAGGGUAGGAAGUCAGCAAUGUGGGGGCGUGGUUCAGCGGAUUUGCGGAGGGCCCUCAUCAAGCCCGAGGCAAGGCUGCGAAGACUGCGUGACUCUGCAGGCCAACGUCGGUUCUGUGGCGCGGGAAAGCGGGGCACGGGAAUGUGGCACUUUUUCACGAGAGUGUGUUUAUAGCCCGGGGCCUUUUGAGUCUGGACCAGCGACUGGGACCGUGGUUUGACAGCGU
This 562-nucleotide ribosomal RNA is filed under the name Anthracoidea sclerotiformis. RNAcentral's name for it is "LSU rRNA". It matches the Rfam family "Eukaryotic large subunit ribosomal RNA", at positions 94 to 611 of the family's 3401-position model. Lineage: Eukaryota; Fungi; Basidiomycota; Ustilaginomycetes; Ustilaginales; Anthracoideaceae. The record is from RNAcentral.